RNAcentral lists this non-coding RNA (148 nucleotides) under Homo sapiens (human). Lineage: Eukaryota; Metazoa; Chordata; Mammalia; Primates; Hominidae. The record is from Rfam by way of RNAcentral.
GCCAGGCAUGGUGGCGCAUGCCUGUAAUCCCAGCUACCUGGGAGGCUGAGGCACAAGAAUCACUUGAACCCAGGAGGCAGAAGUUGCAGUGAGCCGAAAUUGUGCCACUGCACUGCAACCUGGGUGACAGAGUGAGACCUUGUCUCAA